Long non-coding RNA from Columba livia (rock pigeon), 4691 nucleotides. RefSeq lists it as uncharacterized. The transcript is spliced from 2 exons. The record is from RefSeq and is a predicted model, not a curated record. NCBI's taxonomy places the organism in Eukaryota, Metazoa, Chordata, Aves, Columbiformes, Columbidae.
GGAAGAAUACUGGAAAGACGUUGAUUUAUCAGAGGAGUUCUGGAUGCAGUGAUGUCAGGAGAAGUGUGGAUGAACAGUUCUCACCUUGCUGACUCACAUCAAGCUGUAUGCAACUACCUGACGUUGCUUCCUCUCCAUCCAUCCAGCCAAUUAAAGAACAGCAGCACAAUUCUCUGAUGUGUGGCCACUUGCUGACACACAGGCGGUGUCUGAAAAAGUCAUGUCCCAAGAGACUGGUAAUGUCAAGUAAUUGGUUCUGUUUAUUAAUAUGAUCUUAGAAACCUCCAGGGUGGAAUGUAACUGAAGGCAAAUAUGGACACAUGAACACAGAGAGAUUAAGGUAAGGGAGGGACCUGCCUCAUUUCCAAGCUUCUAACUGCAGUUAAGGUCAAAGUCUUCAGUCUUUCUUGGAGUGAAGAUCUAAGUAAAGAUCUAAGUGCAAAGUCAGACAAGACAUGAGUAGGGGCACAUUGAUCUCCUCUGCCUCCAGAAAAGGUGUCUCCAAGCAAGUCAUUCAUCUUUGAUCCAUUGAUCAUCAGUGGAAAGAAAGAGGUACUGUCAAGACUAAGUUCAUCCUGUCUCAUGCAGAUCAGGCAAUCCAUCCCUUAUAAUCACCAAUUUCUCUUCUGUUGACACUCAAGAUAGAAUAGACAGCUGUCUUAGGCAACACACACACAAGCCUUGAUGUCUAGUCAUCUAAAGUUAGUUGAGAAGACUCACACCAAAAGAAAGGUUGUUUACACUGCCCAGGGCCAGCACACAGGUGUUGGACUUGACAGUCAUCUUCUGCAAGUGCUGUGUCAAAGUGGUUGCGGGGAGACUGAUCUGCACUUGGUGUGAUGGGGAGGUGUCACUAAUGAGAGUAACAUGCCCAGGUUGAGCCCGUUCACCCACAAGAAAGCUUUCUACCUGCUGUCCAUCUGUCCUUGAGUACCUUGGACAUGGAUAUAGGCUUUAGCCGUGGAUGGAGUUGCUUGGAAGGUUAAAUAGACGGAAACCUCCUGAGAAAUCAUAGGGAAAAGACUGAAAGACUCAAUGCCUAUUUCUUCUCAGGUUUUGCUCAUCUGGCUUCACCUCAGGCCUACAACAUCCCUGAAAGUUCCUGCAGAUCCUAUGGAAAGGAAGUGACACCCACAGCAGAAGAAGAAAGAACUCAGGAACUCUUACUACUAUUUGGACAUACACAUGUUCAUGGGGUCACUUGGAAUGCACCCAAGUGUGUUCAAGGAGCUGACUGGACAGUCUCUACUCAGUCCUGGAAGGAAAAUGGAGCAGAUACCUCCAGAAACUCACGAAAGGCCAGAAGGAAGUUGGGAGCAGCUCCCAUGGGUUUGCUAAGGGCAAAUCAUGCCUCACCAUCCUCACUGCUUUCUGUGAGCAGGUGACUGGCACUGUGGGAAAAGGGAGGGGCACUGGCUGGGGUGUACCUUGACUUUAGCAAGACAUUUGACAUACCCUGAUGGGUGCACACACAUGCACAUAGAGUUGUGCACACUCACAGCAUGCACACAUACAAAGAUGUGUGCUGUUGGACAAUUGUUAUAGUACACUCUGAGGCAAAUUAAACACGUGCUUUUGCUUAGGUAUGAAAAAAAAACCCACCAAAUUAUCAAUGUAUUAGACAGUGACCUACCAUCAUAAGCAGUUCUACAGGCUGUCUGCAAAGAUACAUCACAAGCCAGUUCCUUCUGUACACUGGCACCAGCACCAACCCUGUGAGCGCUGGCAUGAGGCAGCUCUGCCUGGCAUUGUGUCUAUUCCCCAGCACCAGCUCUGCUCCCCAGAGGUGGCCACUGAACAUUCACAUUCCAGGAUUGCUGCAAGACACUGUUGCAGCUGUCCCUGAUCUCCUCUCCAAGGGAAACUGCACUCCCUUACAAGGAUCUUUUGAUUUCUGGCAUUCCUUGGUCACGAAUUACCACUACUGAGCAGUUCCAAUUGGAAUUUCCCUUUCUGUGCCCACACAAAUUCACACACAGGGACACAAACACAAACAUGAGCUUAGACACAUCCAAAGAGCAACUCAUACAUCUGUACUUAUACAGAGUUGUAUGCACAUGCGUUUCCAAAGGAGCCCAUGUCCGUACAUGCACAGGCACCUCCCGCACCAAGUGGGCACAGAUAUUCAAACACACUUGCUUACACAUUUAUAUGUUCCUGCACACAUGCUCCUGUACACAGAUGUACACACACAAAAGGAAAUAUCUACAGACACCUAUGUCCACACAAUUACCAAUAUGCAGACCAGUCACACACAGUCAUGCCACACAGUCAUGUUCUCCUGCAUGAAGGUACAUGUGUGUGCUAAAACACAUAUACUCUCACGGACACACCCAAACACACACACACACAGAACAAUUGUGCACAUCCAUGUUUGCAUGUGUAUUACCACAGUCACAUACAUGUACAUGUGAAUGCACACAUGACCACAGCCAGAGGAACACAUACCUGAGCACCAUCAUGCACACACACCACAGAGAACUAAGACUUACAACACCAGCUCUCAGCCGCUCUAGAUGAAUCUAGGCAAGUACUUCAGAGCCUAUAGUUAAGGCAACAAAUCAGUCACUGGCCAGCCCCAUCAGCUUUAGUGAGCUCCAGGGUUUGGCAGUGGUUCAGUCAGCUGCUUUCUCACUGUAAGACAGAGACAAACCAGAGCAGAGUCAAAGCUGUCAUGGCCUCUCUAGACACUGAACUUCUUCAUGUCCUAAGUAGGUGUGUGAUGGAUAAUACAAAAACUAGAGAACAUCCCCACUGCUGCAGCCCCACAAAGAAUUUCCGUGUUACAAAGAAGAUAAAAUUCUGCAGUAUUAGAGGUUCCUGCCUGACCUUGUUGAUCUCCUCAAGGGUGUGGAACCAGCCCCUGUCCUUGCACAGGGAGCGGUGCCACAGUGACAGCCUCAUGCGGCAGCAGAAGGGUGUGUGUCUGAGACAAGCCAGACUCCCCUGAGGCUACAGACACUGAGGCUGGGACAUCAAAAGGGUGGUAGUAGUGAACCUGUCUCUAGACUCACUUCAAGGUAAAUACCCUCUCUUCAAAAAGCAGAGAAAUGUGGGAAUCACAUUAAUUUACAGAGCAGCUAAAGAAAUGGUUUGGCUGUCCUGUGAAUGUACACACAUUCUUUUCCUUUUUUCCCCACAUUGUAAUUGAUGUGCUGCUCGUUUUCUUCUUGUGUUUUGCAUGUGGGUGCAUGCGGUGCAAUUGCCUGCAGCACGAGGGAGCUGCCUGCAGCCUCUUCAGUUAGCCUUGAGCUGGCUGAGUUUAUCUUGCAGCCCAGGCUCCUGUAUGCAAAACAGUUUCUGUACAUAAUAAUACAAGAGUAAUAAAGGUGUAUUUGGUUAACCUGGCAAUGCUUUGGUAGUGAAGGGGAUGCAGGGAUGCCUUCUGUGUGAAGAUGCCAGAAACUGCUCCCAAUGUCAGACAGAACCAGUGACAGCCAGCUCCUCUGCUGGCCAGAUCAGUAACACUGGUAGUGCUUUUGAUAACACAUGUAAGAAAGGGGUAAAACCCAGUGUGCAGCAGCCAGGAGAGAAGAGUGAGAAAAAGUGAAACAACAAUGCAGACAUCCAGGUUUGUGAAGAAGGAGGAACAGAAAGUGGUCCAGGCACUAGAGCAGAGACUCCCCUGCAGCCAUGGAGAAGACAAUGGUGACACAGUCUGACCCCUUGCAGUCCAUGGAUGACCACAAUGGAGUGGGUAUCCACACUGCAGCCCAUGGAGAACCUAAUGCCACAACUGGUGGAGAUACCUGGAAGGAAGUUGCAGCUCAUGGAGAACCGGACUUGGAGCAGGCUCCUGACAGAAACUCUGCUCCCUGGACAGGAACCCAGACAGCAGCAGGUUUUCUAGCAGGACCUGUGACCUCCCUGGGGACCACACUGGAACAACCUGUUUCUGAAGGACUGCAGCCUGUUUAAAGGAUCCAUGGGGGAGCAGCUCAUGAAGAACAGCAGCCCACUGGAAGGAUCUACAUUGGACGAGUGUGGAAAGGACUGUCUCCUGCAGGCGGCACCCACUCUGGAGCAGGGGAAAAGCAUGAGGAGGAAGGAGCAAUAGAAGUGAAGCAUUAUGAACUGACUGCAACUCCCACUCCCCAUCCCCCUGCACUAUUGGAAGGGAGGAAGUAGAGGAUUUAGGAGUGAAGUUGAGCCUGGAAAGAAGGGAGAGGCUGAAGGAAGUGGUUAUAUUUUUGGUUUAUUCUUGACAAUAAAUCUAAUUUAUUUCCUCAUGUUAAGCCUGUAUUAUCCAUGCCAGUAAUUGGUAAGUAAUCUUCUUGUACUUAUCUUGACCCAUGAGCUUUUCAUCAUAAUUUUCUCCCCCCAUCCUCCUGAUGGAGAGGGAGUGAGAGAGCAGCUUGGUGGGCACAUGGCAGCCAGUCAAGGUCAACCCACCACAAACAGAGCAAAGAGAGCAAGGAUAGAAUAACGGUUGUGUGAUGGCUGGAAGUACCAGAUAUGUCCUGUCCCCCUUGUCCCAUGCCCUAUGAGAGAAUGAUGGUGCAGAGAUCACUGAACUGUUCUGUUUCUUGUGUGCUGCAGAAGACAAGGAGGAGCUUUGGUGUGUGUGGCUGGAGGGCAGGAAUGCCUUCAUGCUUGGUUCUGUAUGGCAUGCAGCAAAGGGAAGCAGUCAUGUAAGGCUCCACAUAAUGGUUCCACAUGAGAUAAAAUAAAGGAAUGAUUUUCCUGGACAA